GUAGGUGAACUGCGGAAGGAUCAUUACCGAGUGUAGGGUUCCUAGCGAGCCCAACCUCCCACCCGUGUUUACUGUACCUUAGUUGCUUCGGCGGGCCCGCCAUUCAUGGCCGCCGGGGGCUCUCAGCCCCGGGCCCGCGCCCGCCGGAGACACCACGAACUCUGUCUGAUCUAGUGAAGUCUGAGUUGAUUGUAUCGCAAUCAGUUAAAACUUUCAACAAUGGAUCUCUUGGUUCCGGCAUCGAUGAAGAACGCAGCGAAAUGCGAUAACUAGUGUGAAUUGCAGAAUUCCGUGAAUCAUCGAGUCUUUGAACGCACAUUGCGCCCCCUGGUAUUCCGGGGGGCAUGCCUGUCCGAGCGUCAUUGCUGCCCAUCAAGCACGGCUUGUGUGUUGGGUCGUCGUCCCCUCUCCGGGGGGGACGGGCCCCAAAGGCAGCGGCGGCACCGCGUCCGAUCCUCGAGCGUAUGGGGCUUUGUCACCCGCUCUGUAGGCCCGGCCGGCGCUUGCCGAACGCAAAUCAAUCUUUUUCCAGGUUGACCUCGGAUCAGUAGGAUACCCGCUGA
This 563-nucleotide ribosomal RNA is filed under the name Aspergillus flavus. RNAcentral's name for it is "eukaryotic LSU rRNA". The stretch from base 209 to 362 matches the Rfam family "5.8S ribosomal RNA". The record is from RNAcentral. Lineage: Eukaryota; Fungi; Ascomycota; Eurotiomycetes; Eurotiales; Aspergillaceae.